RNAcentral lists this ribosomal RNA (253 nucleotides) under uncultured bacterium. RNAcentral describes it as "partial 16S ribosomal RNA". It matches the Rfam family "Bacterial small subunit ribosomal RNA", at positions 524 to 776 of the family's 1533-position model. The record is from RNAcentral.
UACAGAGACUGCAAGCGUUAUUCGGAUUCACUGGGCGUAAAGGGUGCGUAGGCGGCGGGGCAAGUCUGAUGUGAAAUCCCGGGGCUCAACCCCGGAACUGCAUUGGAUACUGCCUUGCUCGAGUACUGGAGAGGGAACUGGAAUUUACGGUGUAGCAGUGAAAUGCGUAGAGAUCGUAAGGAAGGCCAGUGGCGAAGGCGAGUUCCUGGACAGUUACUGACGCUGAGGCACGAAGGCCAGGGGAGCAAACGGG